GAUGAACGCUGGCGGCAUGCCUAAUACAUGCAAGUCGAACGAGAGGAAGGAAAGCUUGCUUUUCUGAAUCUAGUGGCGAACGGGUGAGUAACACGUAGGUAACCUGCCCAUGUGCCCGGGAUAACUUCUGGAAACGGAUGCUAAAACCGGAUAGGUAGCAGACAAGCAUUUGACUGCUAUUAAAGUGGCUAAGGCCAUGAACAUGGAUGGACCUGCGGUGCAUUAGCUAGUUGGUGAGGUAACGGCCCACCAAGGCGAGGAUGCAUAGCCGGCCUGAGAGGGCGGACGGCCACAUUGGGACUGAGACACGGCCCAAACUCCUACGGGAGGCAGCAGUAGGGAAUUUUCGUCAAUGGGGGGAACCCUGAACGAGCAAUGCCGCGUGAGUGAGGAAGGUCUUCGGAUCGUAAAGCUCUGUUGUAAGAGAAAAACGACAUUCAUAGGGAAUGAUGAGUGAGUGAUGGUAUCUUACCAGAAAGUCACGGCUAACUACGUGCCAGCAGCCGCGGUAA
Molecule: ribosomal RNA, 512 nt
Filed under: uncultured bacterium
Lineage: Bacteria
Description: partial 16S ribosomal RNA
Rfam family: Bacterial small subunit ribosomal RNA
Source: RNAcentral